This 315-nucleotide ribosomal RNA is filed under the name Triticum aestivum (bread wheat). RNAcentral describes it as "partial small subunit ribosomal RNA". Lineage: Eukaryota; Viridiplantae; Streptophyta; Magnoliopsida; Poales; Poaceae. The record is from RNAcentral.
AUGGCUGCCCAGAACAACAAGGAGGUGGAUGCCCUGGUGGAGAAGAUCACCGGCCUCCACGCCGCCAUCGCCAAGCUGCCGUCGCUCAGCCCAUCCCCGGCCGUCGACGCGCUCUUCACCGAGCUGGUCACGGCCUGCGUUCCCCCUGUUAGAGUUAUAUUGAUGAUGUCUUUUGGUCUUUUGUAUUCUUGUUUUUUGGCAUCCUCUUAUAUAUGUAUAUAUGACUGCUUUUGCCUCCUAGUAAUACAAGUUGCAUAUUUCCCUAACAUGGUAUUAGAGCUAGGUCUUUUUUCCCGCACGCACAACUCGUGCUGA